CUUCUUCUGUGGGGUUUGAGGCUGAUGGGUACAAAGUGCAAGUGAGCGGCUUUGUAGAUGGAGGAACAGGUGAUACUUUGAGUUAUCACAAUGGAAUGAAGUUCUCCACCUUUGACAAUGACCAAGAUACUUGGAGCAGUAACUGCGCUAUGACAUUCUCUCAAGGAGGGUUUUGGUACAACACCUGUGCUAAUGCAAACCCCACUGGUCUGUAUUUUUGGGGGAAAGAUUAUGGCAGUUUAUCUAUUGGGGCCUACUGGAAGAGCCCCAAUAAACCUGUGAAGUCCAUCAGCAUGAAGAUCAGACGUGUGAAGUAGAGCAGGGCUUACAAACACUUCACUGCAGCGUGUGCACAUCCACAUCUUUAUGCAUACAUGUGCAUCUUUCUUAAAAUAUGGUGACAAAUCAAAUUAAUUUUCCUCUUAAAUAAAAAUGUAUUGAAAUUGGGAUCUGUAUGUUUUGUCUGCUUUGAUUUUGGAGCAAUAAAUGUUUAUGCAAAGCA
This is a long non-coding RNA of Cyprinus carpio (common carp), 502 nucleotides long. RefSeq lists it as uncharacterized. The transcript has 2 exons. NCBI's taxonomy places the organism in Eukaryota, Metazoa, Chordata, Actinopteri, Cypriniformes, Cyprinidae. The record is from RefSeq and is a predicted model, not a curated record.